ACGCACGCUGGCGGCGUGCUUAACACAUGCAAGUCGCACGGAAAGGCCCUGCUUUUGUGGGGUGCUCGAGUGGCGAACGGGGGAGUAACACGUGAGUAACCUGCCCUUGACUUUGGGAUAACUUCAGGAAACUGGGGCUAAUACCGGAUAGGAGCUCCUGCUGCAUGGUGAGGGUUGGAAAGUUUCGGCGGUGGGGGAUGGACUCGCGGCUUAUCAGCUUGUUGGUGGGGUAGUGGCUUACCAAGGCUUUGACGGGUAGCCGGCCUGAGAGGGUGACCGGCCACACUGGGACUGAGACACGGCCCAGACUCGUACGGGAGGCAGCAGUGGGGAAUAUGGCACAAUGGGCGAAAGCCUGAUGCAGCGACGCCGCGUGGGGGAUGACGGCCUUCGGGUUGUAAACCGCUUUCAGUAGGGAAGAAGCGAGAGUGACGGUACCUGCAGAAGAAGCGCCGGCUAACUACGUG
RNAcentral lists this ribosomal RNA (467 nucleotides) under uncultured bacterium. RNAcentral describes it as "partial 16S ribosomal RNA". It matches the Rfam family "Bacterial small subunit ribosomal RNA", at positions 29 to 507 of the family's 1533-position model. The record is from RNAcentral.